Long non-coding RNA from Bombina bombina (fire-bellied toad), 253 nucleotides. RefSeq lists it as uncharacterized. NCBI's taxonomy places the organism in Eukaryota, Metazoa, Chordata, Amphibia, Anura, Bombinatoridae. The record is from RefSeq and is a predicted model, not a curated record. The transcript has 2 exons.
CUCAGACCGUACCCAAGGUUUCCAGAAACCCCUGUACAACUUUCUUCCAGCAACUACGAGGUUAAUUUAUUCAUGUGGAUAAACACAUGACUAUAAACAUCAGCUGUCACUCUGGAUGUAUACUACAGUUCUGUUAGUGGAUAGCAACAUACCUCUGCAAACCUGACAAGAAAAUGUUUCAGUGGAGCAACAUAAGUUUUUCAAAAACUUAAGAAAUGCCUGGUAUCAAAGUAAAAAUAAAAACAAAAAACCA